AAAAUGCGAUACUUGGUGUGAAUUGCAGAAUCCCGUGAACCAUCGAGUUUUUGAACGCAAGUUGCGCCCGAAGCCAUCCGGCUGAGGGCACGCCUGCCUGGGCGUCACGCAUCGCGUCGCUCCCCACCAUACCUCCCCAACGGGUUGGCAUGGUGUUGGGGGCGGAUAAUGGCCUCCCGUGCUUGUGUUUCGGUUGGCCUAAAUAAGAGUUCCCUUCGGCGGACACACGACUAGUGGUGGUUGAAUAGACCCUCGUCUUUUGUUGCGUGUCGUGAGCUGUAAGGGUAGCCCUCAUCAACGACCCCAUUGUAUCGUCUUCGGAUGAUGCUUCGACCGCGACCCCAGGUCAGGCGGGACUACCCGCUGAGUUUAAGC
RNAcentral lists this unclassified non-coding RNA (375 nucleotides) under plant metagenome. Its description in RNAcentral is "partial contains 5.8S ribosomal RNA, internal transcribed spacer 2, and large subunit ribosomal RNA". The stretch from base 1 to 107 matches the Rfam family "5.8S ribosomal RNA", at positions 50 to 154 of the family's 154-position model. The record is from RNAcentral.